This is a long non-coding RNA of Stegodyphus dumicola, 641 nucleotides long. RefSeq lists it as uncharacterized. NCBI's taxonomy places the organism in Eukaryota, Metazoa, Arthropoda, Arachnida, Araneae, Eresidae. The record is from RefSeq and is a predicted model, not a curated record.
UUUCCCGCGUUCGCUCUGCUUGUUUUUUUCGUUGUGCCAUGGCUUUUUCAGCUCCCCACAAAGUUUUACUGGCUCAACAGAAUGAUCUUUUAUCUGCCCUUCUCAUUAGCCAAGAGGCAACGGAAGAAGGUAAAAAACGAAAUGGUCGAGAGAUAUUUUUUUGGAGAGGCCAAUACUUGGUUGGCACAACGAGCUUCUUCCGAAACUCAGAAAUGGAAACGAAGAUUUGUUCUUCAAUUUCACUCGUAUGUCGGUUAAACAGUAUGAUUAUUUAUUGUCUCUUGUGAGUGAGAAAAUGACCAAAAAAAAAAAAAAAAAAAAACACUUGCAUGAGGAAACCUCUGACACCAUCUGAGAAGCUUUCUGUAUGCUUAAGGAAAACAUGUUGAAAUAAAAGCUCCUGCAUUGGCAGGUUCGACAUAUACGAACUACAAAAAAUUCAACAGCAUAGUGUUGAUGGCAUCUUGUGACGCAAAUUACUGUUUUGUAUUUGUAGAUAUAGGUAAUUUUGGACGCAUCAGCGAUGCAGGGGUUUUUUCUAAUUCUUUCCUGGGACGAGCAGUGGAUCAAAAUAUGCUGAAUCUGCCACAUGAUAAAAAGUUGCCUAAAAGUGCAAGAGUUUUGCCUCAUGUAUUUUUAGG